RNAcentral lists this ribosomal RNA (253 nucleotides) under uncultured bacterium. RNAcentral's name for it is "partial 16S ribosomal RNA". It matches the Rfam family "Bacterial small subunit ribosomal RNA", at positions 524 to 776 of the family's 1533-position model. The record is from RNAcentral.
GACGGAGGAUGCAAGCGUUAUCCGGAAUUAUUGGGCGUAAAGCGUACGUAGGCGGCUUGGUAAGUCAGAGGUGAAAGCCCACGACUCAAUCGUGGAACUGCCUUUGAGACUGCUUCGCUUGAAGAUGGGGGAGGUUAGUGGAAUUCCGAGUGUAGAGGUGAAAUUCGUAGAUAUUCGGAAGAACACCAGUGGCGAAGGCGGCUAACUGGACCAUUCUUGACGCUGAGGUACGAAAGCGUGGGGAGCAAACAGG